AUACGGAGGAUGCGAGCGUUAUCCGGAUUUAUUGGGUUUAAAGGGUGCGUAGGCUGUGCGUUAAGUCAGGGGUGAAAUGCCGUCGCUCAACGACGGAGCUGCCCUUGAUACUGGCGUGCUGGAGUACGGAUGCCGUUGGAGGAAUGAGUGGUGUAGCGGUGAAAUGCUUAGAUAUCACUCAGAACACCGAUUGCGAAGGCUUCUGACGAAACCGUCACAGACCACGAGGCACGAAAGCGUGGGGAAAGAACAGUAUAAGAUGCCCUGGUAUUCCACGGCGUAAACGAUGAUGACUAACCGUCGGCGAUAGACAGCCGGUGGCCAAGCGAAAGCGAUAGGUAAUCCACCCGGGGAGUACGUCGGCAACGAUGAAACUCAAAUGAAUUGACGGGG
RNAcentral lists this ribosomal RNA (393 nucleotides) under uncultured bacterium. Its description in RNAcentral is "partial 16S ribosomal RNA". It matches the Rfam family "Bacterial small subunit ribosomal RNA", at positions 523 to 918 of the family's 1533-position model. The record is from RNAcentral.